This 114-nucleotide ribosomal RNA is filed under the name Denitratisoma oestradiolicum. Lineage: Bacteria; Pseudomonadati; Pseudomonadota; Betaproteobacteria; Nitrosomonadales; Sterolibacteriaceae. The record is from RNAcentral.
UCUGGUGCACAUAGCGUCUUGGAACCACCCCUUCCCUUCCCGAACAGGACCGUGAAACAGGAUCGCGCCAAUGAUAGUGAGUUAACCUCUCGCGAAAGUAGGUCAGCGCCAGAC